This 59-nucleotide transfer RNA is filed under the name Gerrhonotus liocephalus. RNAcentral describes it as "tRNA-Ser". The record is from RNAcentral. Lineage: Eukaryota; Metazoa; Chordata; Lepidosauria; Squamata; Anguidae.
GAAAGAUAUCACAAGAACUGCUAAUUCAUGUACCUGAAACUAAACCUUCAGAUCUUUCA